Molecule: ribosomal RNA, 253 nt
Filed under: uncultured bacterium
Lineage: Bacteria
Description: partial 16S ribosomal RNA
Rfam family: Bacterial small subunit ribosomal RNA
Source: RNAcentral
UACGAAGGGGGCUAGCGUUGCUCGGAAUCACUGGGCGUAAAGCGCACGUAGGCGGGUCUUUAAGUCAGGGGGGAAAUGCCAAGGCUCAACCUUGGAACUGCCUUUGAUACUGGAGAUCUUGAGUCCGGGAGAGGUGAGUGGAAUUGCGAGUGUAGAGGUGAAAUUCGUAGAUAUUCGCAAGAACACCAGUGGCGAAGGCGGCUCACUGGCCCGGAACUGACGCUGAGACGCGAAAGCGUGGGGAGCAAACAGG